Regulatory RNA element from Brevibacterium linens, 129 nucleotides. It matches the Rfam family "ALIL pseudoknot". The record is from Rfam. NCBI's taxonomy places the organism in Bacteria, Bacillati, Actinomycetota, Actinomycetes, Micrococcales, Brevibacteriaceae.
GGCUUUCUUCGCGGCGGAGCUCGACCGCCCCUCAAAGUAGUCGUCGCCUUCAUCGACGAGUGCAAAGACGAGUUCGGAGUCGAGCCGAUCUGUGCCACGCUGCGUGCUGCCGGCGUGAAGAUCGCUCCG